RNAcentral lists this ribosomal RNA (484 nucleotides) under uncultured bacterium. Its description in RNAcentral is "partial 16S ribosomal RNA". It matches the Rfam family "Bacterial small subunit ribosomal RNA", at positions 29 to 507 of the family's 1533-position model. The record is from RNAcentral.
AUUGAACGCUGGCGGCAGGCCUAACACAUGCAAGUCGAGCGGACGAAUGGGGGUUGCUCCCGGAUGCAGCGGCGGACGGGUGGGUAAUGCCUAGGGAUCUGCCUUAACUCGGGGAAUAACGUCCGGAUACGGGAGCUGAUCUCCCAGGGGACCAUAGAUCGAAAGUAGUGGAUCAUGGGUCCUAACGGUUUGAUAGGAGCGUAAGUGGGAUUCGCUAGCUGGUGGGGUAACCGAUUACCAAAGGGACGACCCGUAAAUGGCAUGAGAGGGUGAUCAGGCACACUGGAACUGAGAAACAGUCCAGACACUGACGGGAGGCAGCAGUCGGGAAUCUUGCGCAAUGGGGGAAAGCCGGAUCGAGCGAAGCCGCGGGAGUGCUGAAGGUCUUAGGAUGGUAAAACGCUGUAAGUUGGGAGGAAGUAAAGUUCUUUCACCCCGGACUGUAUUGACGGUACCCAGAGAAUAAGCCCCGGCUAACUUCGUG